GGGUGAUUAGCUCAGAUGGUUAGAGCGCAGUCCUGAUAAGACUGAGGUCCUUGGUCCGAUUCCAAGAUCACCCA
RNAcentral lists this transfer RNA (74 nucleotides) under Candidatus Woesebacteria bacterium. Its description in RNAcentral is "tRNA-Ile". Lineage: Bacteria; Candidatus Woeseibacteriota. The record is from RNAcentral.